Molecule: ribosomal RNA, 253 nt
Filed under: uncultured bacterium
Lineage: Bacteria
Description: partial 16S ribosomal RNA
Rfam family: Bacterial small subunit ribosomal RNA
Source: RNAcentral
UACGUAGGGUCCGAGCGUUGUCCGGAAUUAUUGGGCGUAAAGAGCUCGUAGGCGGUCUGUCGCGUCUGCUGUGAAAACUCGGGGCUUAACCCCGGGCCUGCAGUGGGUACGGGCAGACUAGAGUGCGGUAGGGGAGACUGGAAUUCCUGGUGUAGCGGUGAAAUGCGCAGAUAUCAGGAGGAACACCGGUGGCGAAGGCGGGUCUCUGGGCCGUAACUGACGCUGAGGAGCGAAAGCGUGGGGAGCGAACAGG